RNAcentral lists this ribosomal RNA (247 nucleotides) under Staphylococcus aureus. Its description in RNAcentral is "partial 16S ribosomal RNA". It matches the Rfam family "Bacterial small subunit ribosomal RNA", at positions 1 to 236 of the family's 1533-position model. The record is from RNAcentral. Lineage: Bacteria; Bacillati; Bacillota; Bacilli; Caryophanales; Staphylococcaceae.
UUUUAUGGAGAGUUUGAUCCUGGCUCAGGAUGAACGCUGGCGGCGUGCCUAAUACAUGCAAGUCGAGCGAACGGACGAGAAGCUUGCUUCUCUGAUGUUAGCGGCGGACGGGUGAGUAACACGUGGAUAACCUACCUAUAAGACUGGGAUAACUUCGGGAAACCGGAGCUAAUACCGGAUAAUAUUUUGAACCGCAUGGUUCAAAAGUGAAAGACGGUCUUGCUGUCACUUAUAGAUGGAUCCGCGC